Molecule: long non-coding RNA, 1529 nt
Filed under: Homo sapiens (human)
Lineage: Eukaryota; Metazoa; Chordata; Mammalia; Primates; Hominidae
Description: non-protein coding lnc-CHTF8-2:3
Source: RNAcentral
ACAGUCACACACGCUGACCUCUAAGGUGGUCACUUGGUCUUUAUUCUGGUUAUCCAUGAGCUUGAGAUUGAUUUUGUAGUCACCCACCUCUAAGGCCAUCUUUGGCUUCAAAAUGAUAGAUUCUUGGGCUGGAGAAAGCAAUAAAAAGAAAUGAUGAGACCAGGGGAGGAAAAUAAAAAGCUCAUUCCAGAAUAAAAUUGCUAGUGAACUAAAGACACCCGCAAGCCGAGUGAAGAGAGCAGAGCUGCUUGGGUUUUAUUUAGGAGGCACAAAGAUGGGGGCUUCAUUCACAUCCAGCACAUCCACGGUGACGGUGGCUGUGGAGGUGGUGAGAGAGACCUCAAAAGCAGAGACUCAAACUCCUGACCUCGUGAUCUGCCUGCCUCAGCGUCCCUAAGUGCUGGGAUUACAGGCGUGAGCCACCACACACAGCACAGUUUCUUGAUUUCUUACAUGAGCAGGAAGAGCCACUGCAAAUCCCACAUGGUCCACUACAAUCUGGGAAAGUCACCCUGUCCCCCUGCCAAAGCGAAUCUACUUCUAAGAAGAUACCAGGGGACAAGGGUAUGAACAGCUGUGAGGAUGCCAGUUUCUGCAUCUUGCCAGGUACCAUACAAACCUUUGCUGUUUUCAAAAUGCCAUCGUUGUUCACUGGAUUUGUGGUGACGACAAAUUGUCCACCAUCAUCAUUCAAUAUGGUGUAUACAGCCUCCCACGCUGGGGUAUUGGGGGCAUCAGCAUCAGUCACUUUCAGUGUGGUGAUUACGACGUUAGCCUCGUUCUCAGGCACCUGACCCUUGUACUGCAGAGCAAAGAGAUGUGUCAUUUACAAAGUACCAAGACUGCUAGCAGAGCUGAGUCUCAGGGGGCUAAAGGAUUCCUCUUUUUUUGUUGUUCUUUUGAGAUAAGAUCUCACUGUCACCAGGCUGGAGUGUAUUUGAGCGAUCAUGGCUCACUGUAGCCUCAACCUCCUGGGCUCAAGCAAUCCUCCCACCUCAGCCUCCAGAGUAGCUGGGACCACAGGCAUGCACCACCACACCUGGCUAACUGAAAGCAAGCUUCAAGGAGAAGAUGUGACAAGGAGAGGCCAGGCAAUGGGCGCACUGGGGUGCAAUGGUACAAUCUCGGCUCACUGCAGCCUCCGCCUCCUGGGUUCAAGCAACUCUCAUGCCUCAGAUGCCCGAGUAGCUGGGAUUACAAGCAUGCACCACCACGCCCAGCUAAUUUUUGUAUUUUUAGUGGAGAUGGAGUUUCGCCACGUUGGCCAGGCUGGUCUCAAACUCCAUCCUCAAGGGAUCCACCAGCCUUGGCCUCUCAACUUGCUAGAUUACAGGUGUGAGCCACCACGCCUGGCCAUUAUACAGGAUGAUUUAAACUUACCCUACUUGGUUCUCAAUACCUUCUCCUUGAAUGCAUGUAAUAUCCUUGGCAUACAAUAAUUCUCAUAAGAUGUCUUCCUGGCUAUACCAGAAACACCAUGAGAAUGGAAUCUUUGUGUGUGAUGGUCUCUCCAGUGUCUAACACAGUGC